CCAAUAGCGUAUAUUAAAGUUGUUGCAGUUAAAAAGCUCGUAGUUGAAUUUCGGGAUCAAUUUGCUGGUCGUGCCUUCGGUACGCACUGGUAUUAUUGGUUUCUCCUUUCUGAUGAAUCACGAUGUCAUUAAUUUGGUGUCGUGGGGAAUCAGGACUGUUACUUUGAAAAAAUUAGAGUGUUUAAAGCAGGCUCACGCUUGAAUACAUUAGCAUGGAAUAAUGAAAUAGGACGUUUGAUUCUAUUUUGUUGGUUUCUAGGAUCGACGUAAUGAUUAAUAGGGAUAGUUGGGGGCAUUAGUAUUCAAUUGUCAGAGGUGAAAUUCUUGGAUUUAUUGAAGACUAACUACUGCGAAAGCAUUUGCCAAGGAUGUUUUCAUUAAUCAAGAACGAAAGUUAGGGGAUCGAAGACGAUCAGAUACCGUCGUAGUCUUAACCAUAAACUAUGCCGACUAGGGAUCGGAUGAUGUUAAUUUUUUAAUGACUCAUUCGGCGCCUUACG
RNAcentral lists this ribosomal RNA (500 nucleotides) under uncultured Glomeromycotina. Its description in RNAcentral is "partial small subunit ribosomal RNA". It matches the Rfam family "Eukaryotic small subunit ribosomal RNA", at positions 591 to 1092 of the family's 1831-position model. Lineage: Eukaryota; Fungi; Glomeromycota. The record is from RNAcentral.